Molecule: ribosomal RNA, 3109 nt
Filed under: Ambystoma mexicanum (axolotl)
Lineage: Eukaryota; Metazoa; Chordata; Amphibia; Caudata; Ambystomatidae
Description: eukaryotic LSU rRNA
Rfam family: Eukaryotic large subunit ribosomal RNA (bases 1972-3109)
Source: RNAcentral
CAUAUCAACCUUGCAUGCCAUCUCCUGCCAUGUUUCAUGUCCAGUGGCCACUUGAUGAUAAGGGGUGGCCUGUCCUAUUGGGUACUCUGGUGAACCUAUGGUCAGCCUCUGCACCCUAGGCCUCGUUUGUGUGGUGUUUCCACAUUUUCUCAUGGGAAUCGGUUUGGUCUUCUUGUUGAAGUGUGAUAUGGGGUCACUUUGGGUAUCAUUUCCAUGGAUUUUUGGUUCCCAGUCCACCCCUGUCCAUGCUGCAUGGGCAUGCAAAACACCUGACUGUCUCAUUUCACAUAGUGGGUGAUCCAGUUGACAUGUAUGCAUGUGGGUGAUGUGUGUAGUGUGCGGUGCAAUUCUGGUGAGGUGCAGAUAUGUCCUUUUGAUGUGUCAUGUGUGAUGUUGCUGAUGUGUUCCCAUUAAUAUGGCCAAGGAAUGUUAUGGAAAGGGGUAUAUUACCUUAUCCUUUUCCUUCAUGUUUGUGUAUCCUGUGAUUGGCUAGUUUGCUUUCUGGUAUUCCUGCAGAUUAUCUUGUAUGGGGGACAUGUUGAGUUAAUCAGAGACAUUCAUGUGGAUGGGUGGUGGUGAGCUGUUGAUUUUCCCCAUUUCAGGACUAUGUUCAUGGCUGUGGUGUGUGAAGGUGAGCAGGUCCAGCAGCAAAGGUGUGAGGGAGAGAUCAUGAACAAGACUUGUGAAACCUCCUCAUUUGCUCGCAUUGGCAUGCAGCGUGGAAUGAAACAAGGAAUGCUAAGUUGAAAUGUGUUAAGCAGUUGCCUGUCCUGCCAAGGGCCCGGCAGCCCCCACAACUGCCUGUAUGUUGCAUCCAAGGGUGACACAGUGGGUGGGGGGUCGUUUUGCCAGGGUGCCUAAGGCCAUUGUUAUGCAUUGCACUACCAGAUGCUGCUCUCUGAGCCAAGGCAUCUGGUAGUGGGCCAUAUGAAUGGAUGAAAAGACCAGAUGGCUGGCCUGGUCUGUAAGUUUGAAUGGGUGCCAAUUAGUAUAUUUACUCCGUUUGGGUAUAUAAGGAGGCUAGAAACCUUUGCCAAUAACGUCCCCUCUGUCACCCAGGGUACACAGACUGCAAUAAAGCUUGGUUACCAUCCCCGGAGUACUGUACACAAUGUGUCUGGGUCCUGCCUGUGCUCCACUUGGUUCUCGCUGCCCAAAUGGGCCCAGUGGUGAAUUGACAGCACACCCAACCCGGAUAAGGGCCACACCCUCACGCAAUGUCCCAGGAAAGCUUGGCCUGCUGGGGCACCCUACCAACCCACAUGGUUAAAAAAAAGCCACUGGUGCUUUUCAGAGAGUCCAACUUAUUCAGGGCAGCAGGGUGCCUCGCUGAAAGAAGACUUGCACGCAAGUGGCCUGCCUGUGUGCCUCCCUGCACUCUGCAGGAUUGAUUUGGCACACUUGGACCUUCUAGGGUUGGACUGUUUGACCGGCCUCAGCUGCUAUUUUAAGCAAUUGACGUCCACCCGCUUUGGGACCAUGUCAAGGGUAUGCCCCCCUGGGGAGGGCUCCCUUAUGUGGGUGUUUACCUACUCCAAGCAGAGCAAAGGUCGAGUGGCGUGACAGCUCACUAUUGGUCAGAGCAGAGUGGAAAGGAUCUGCAAGGUGUCAGGAUCUCAGCAUUGCAGCACACAGGGAUCUAUGGAGUUCCUUAUGAAGGAUGACUACCCAGUGAUGGACUAGCAGUAGAAAGAAGACUGCCAAGAUUCAUGAAUCAGAUAGGACACUCCGGGGAUGGGCGUAUGACGAGCUCUGGAAUCUGGAUAUAAUGGUGGUCAUAGCCAUGAUGGGAUAACCAUACCCAUAAACCAAGCUCUCUCAAAACAGACUCCUAAAUUGAUUACAUUGAGGGAUCCAGAAUCAGACUCUGAACUACCAUCUGAAUGGUUGUGUUGGACCAUGACUCCAACUAUUAUAGACAUCAGAGGACAAUUGUAUAUGUACAUGUUACUAGUCGUAGUUAUAUACUGUUAGAUAAUAGUAUUGUUAGGAGGUGUCUCAAAUGAUUUAUUUUACAUAUACCAGGUAUGCUUAUAGUAUACUUUGGUGUUUGCAGAUGAUUCUGAUCUAAGCUUGUAAUAAAAAAAAAAAAAACAUGUACGUUGACGGGCCGCUCAUUAACCGGGAAUGGGCCAAUUUAGAGGUACAAAAUUGCCAAAUCCUAUGUCAUCUUAUUGGUGGCAUGCAUGAAUGGAUGAAUGGGAUUCCCACCAUACCUCCGUACUAUCUAGUAAACCACAGCCAAGGGAAUGGGGUUGGCUGAAUAAGCAGGGAUAGUAGACCCUGUUGAGCUUGACUCUAGUCUGGCACUGUGAGGAGGCAUGAGAGGUGUACGAUAGGUGGGAUGCCUUCGGGUCAGCAGUGAAAUACCACUACUGUUAUAAUUUGUUCACUUGCCCAGUGAGGCGGGAAAACCCCGCGGGGAUAUCCCUCCUGGCUCCAAGACCCCGGCUCCACCCAGGUGCAACCCACUCCAGGGACAUUGGCAGGUAGGUAGCAUGACUGUCCUAUGAUAGUGCAGGCGUCCUAAGGCAAGCCCAGGGAGGACAGAAACAGCCCAUGGAGAUGAAGGGCAAAAGCUUGCUGGAUUUCGAUUUUACAUAUGACGACAGACCAUGUAAGUGGGGCCUCACGAUCCUUCUGACUUUUUGUGUUUCCAGGAAGAGGUGUCAGAAAAUUACAACAGGGAUGAAUAUCAUGUGAAUGUAAAGCAUUCACAGUGACUUUGCAUUUUGAUCCUUCCAUGCCGGCUCUUCCUAUCAUUGUGAAGCAGAAUUCAGCACAGGUUAGCUGUUCACCCACUAACGGGGAACGUGAGCUGGGUUUAUUCUGUCAUGUCACAGUUUUGUUUUACCAUACGGAUGGUGUUUUGUUACAAUAGUAAUCCUGCUCAGUAUCAGAGGAACCCCAUGUUCAGACAUUUGGUGUAUGUGCUUGGCUGCGGAGUCAAUGGGGUGAAGCUGGAAUCUGUGGGUUUAUGACUGAAUGCCUCUAAAUCACACUACCCCUUAAACUGUAACAGUAACACAGCACUGUGGAGUCGUGAUUGGCCUAGGAUAACCAGCAUCUGGGUCAGUGCAUAGAGCUUCUUGCUUCAGGACUCAAUUGU